Molecule: ribosomal RNA, 253 nt
Filed under: uncultured bacterium
Lineage: Bacteria
Description: partial 16S ribosomal RNA
Rfam family: Bacterial small subunit ribosomal RNA
Source: RNAcentral
UACAGAGGGGGCAAGCGUUGUUCGGAAUUACUGGGCGUAAAGGGCGCGUAGGCGGCCAACUAAGUCAGACGUGAAAUCCCCAGGCUCAACCUGGGAACUGCGUCUGAUACUGGAUGGCUUGAGUUCGGGAGAGGGAAGUGGAAUUCCAGGUGUAGCGGUGAAAUGCGUAGAUAUCUGGAGGAACACCGAUGGCGAAGGCAAUCCCCUGGGCCUGCACUGACGCUCAUGCACGAAAGCGUGGGGAGCAAACAGG